UCUGUUGAUUUGCUGCCAACAGUGUUUGUGCCACUUCAGCAUUUGGAAGCCUUGCUGUUAAAUAAUCAAUAUUUAUUAUUAAAAAUGGAGAAACAUUUACUAAACUUUCCUUGGAGAUUUUCCUGACAUGCCUUUGACAUCCCUUUGUUAAUGAAAACUCUCUGGACUGUUUUCAAAAUUUUUUCAAUGUAUUUGCAGAAAGGAAGAGGACAGUAGAAGAGGCACUUCUAGUUCCAAACUUCUCAAAAUUGACCAGAUAGAAUAAAUUGUGCAGAGAACUGAGGACUGCUCCAAUGCCAAUGGAAGUUCAUGGGAAAAAACCCAUUUCCUGUUUUUAACAACUGGAAGUUGCACAAGAAGUGAGCAAGGGUGAGAUUAAGGAAUGUGGAAUUCUAAGGAAUGAACUGAAGAUGGAACUGACUGAAGUAUGAGGAAUGGCUUUGUGUUCCUGCUGAAGGUGGAGGGAACCCACCAACUCAUACUUUAUUUCUUUGGCUUCUCUUUGCAGCAGGGGAGUUUUUAAGGUCAGCAAUGUGGCCUUUGCUGAAAUCUCAGAGAAGGAAGGUCAAAACAUGGGAUUGUGCAUCUACUAGAAAUCCAAAGGCUUUAGGAACUUUACUAAGAUAUGAAACCUAAAUAAUUUUACUGACUCUCCUGUGAUCAAGAUGACAUGUAAGUCAAUCUUGCAGAACUAUCAUGAACUCUUCCAGCUAAGGCAUGAAUUUUGCUGAUUUAUAGUGUCCUAUGGCAGCUGAUGGAUUUUGAAGAAGAAAAUCCAUUAGGAUAUUUUAUUGGCUCUUGAAAGGAAAUCAGCUAUGCAGCUCAGCUGUGGGGGCAGAGUAUUGUCUUAGGCUGCAAUACAAGAUGUGACCAGAUGUGUUCUAUUCCCAUCUGUUAAAACCAGCUGGGGCAGUGUUCUUUAUCUCUUCCACAGCCCAUCCUCCCUCCAGGGGGAAACCUUCUGUUAAUGGCCAUGGAGUCUCACUGCAGGACUGAUACAAUUCCAUCAUCCCACUGGGAGAUGCUCCACCCAGGGGGGAGCCAAGAAUU
Molecule: non-coding RNA, 1050 nt
Organism: Cyanistes caeruleus (blue tit)
Lineage: Eukaryota; Metazoa; Chordata; Aves; Passeriformes; Paridae
Source: RefSeq, a predicted model, not a curated record